GACCAGUGAGCGGGCAAGGCGGCGAGCUCCUGUUGAGGCGGCGGGGCUCGGUGCGUGCUGGUUCCUCGGGAUCGAGUCUUGGCUCUCCCGAAGCGGGCGGUUGCGAGCUUGGAUCUGGAUGAUCCCGAUGGAGAGCUGGGUGGCGGCGCUAGGUUCCAACCGCCUCCAGAGUCCUACAUCCCCGAGCUCGACAAGAUUGCUAGCCACCUUUUGAGGUCCUCAGCACUCGGCGGGCUUCUCAUCCUGUUCAGGUUUUCUUCCAUGUUAUGGGGUUGUGCUCCGGCGGCGACGUACGACCAAGGAAGACGGGGGUAUGAUGCAGUGAGUCCAAUCUGUUCCGGAGGACAAGUG
Molecule: long non-coding RNA, 351 nt
Filed under: Hordeum vulgare
Lineage: Eukaryota; Viridiplantae; Streptophyta; Magnoliopsida; Poales; Poaceae
Description: long non-coding RNA (HVUL_LNC018210)
Source: RNAcentral